GGUGUGGUGGCUGAGCGGUCUAAGGCGCAGGUCUGCAAAACUUGUAUUUCGUGGGUUCGAAUCCCACCCACACCU
RNAcentral lists this transfer RNA (75 nucleotides) under marine bacterium AO1-C. It matches the Rfam family "tRNA". From Rfam's summary of the family: Transfer RNA (tRNA) molecules are approximately 80 nucleotides in length. Their secondary structure includes four short double-helical elements and three loops (D, anti-codon, and T loops). Further hydrogen bonds mediate the characteristic L-shaped molecular structure. tRNAs have two regions of fundamental functional importance: the anti-codon, which is responsible for specific mRNA codon recognition, and the 3' end, to which the tRNAs corresponding amino acid is attached (by aminoacyl-tRNA synthetases). tRNAs cope with the degeneracy of the genetic code in two manners: having more than one tRNA (with a specific anti-codon) for a particular amino acid; and 'wobble' base-pairing, i.e. permitting non-standard base-pairing at the 3rd anti-codon position. Lineage: Bacteria; Pseudomonadati; Bacteroidota; Cytophagia; Cytophagales; Cytophagaceae. The record is from Rfam by way of RNAcentral.